Molecule: ribosomal RNA, 435 nt
Filed under: uncultured bacterium
Lineage: Bacteria
Description: partial 16S ribosomal RNA
Rfam family: Bacterial small subunit ribosomal RNA
Source: RNAcentral
GAUGAACGCUGGCGGUAUGCUUAACACAUGCAAGUCGAACGGACUCUUCGGAGUUAGUGGCGGACGGGGGGGUAACGCGGGAGAAUCUGGCUUUGGGUUCGGGACAACCACUGGAAACGGUGGCUAAUACCGGAUGUGCCGAGAGGUAAAAGAGAAAUUGCCUGAAGAUGAGCUCGCGUCUGAUUAGCUAGUUGGUGAGUUAAAGGCUCACCAAGGCAGCGAUCAGUAGCGGGUCUGAGAGGAUGACCAGCCACACUGGGACUGAGACACGGCCGAGACUCCUACGGGAGGCAGGGGUGGAGAAUUGUCCGCAAUGGGCGAAAGCCUGACGGAGCAAUACCGCGUGAGAGAAGAAGGCUCUUGGGUUGUAACCCUCUUUUCUUAGAGAAGAACAAAAUGACGGUACCUAAGGAAUAAGCACCGGCUAACUCCGUG